CAGCCGGAGAGGCAGGCGCUCCCUCGGCCGAGAUAUGGGAUCUUCACUCCACUGAUCCUGGGUUCUCACUUGAGCUGCUGAGCUAGCAGUUCCAUCGCACAGAUGAAGAGAAGCAAGGAGACUGGGCAGCCCUGCUGGACACCCAAAUCUACCACGAUUAUUGUGGUCAGGCACCUGUUCACUAGCACCCUGAUGGUCACAUCUGUUUGUGGUGUCUUUAUCCAGGCAACAAAGGUUGGAGGGAUCCCUACCUUCUUCAGCAUCUCAAACAGAAGUGGAUUAAUGUAUGGGCCAGCUGGGAAUGAGCCCAGGGGCCCCUACCAAUUAAAGGCUCUGGCCCGAGGAUCCUCAUCAGCAGGGAAGUCAAACAUGCAGUUGGCGCCAGCUACCCCUCCCAGUGCUGCUGCCUGCCCACAGAGACAGAGUGGCGUCGCUGGUCCGGCCCGGCCGAGCAGGUCCUCUGCAUUUGCCUGGCUGCACAGGACAGCUGGGCAGCAGCUCCUUGCAGCUCUACGGUGGCUGCUUCCAGAAGAGGAAAAGGCCACUUCCUUCAGCAUUCUCUGAACUAUAUGCCAUGUUUCCUCCUCUUGUUGGGAAGAAAAAGGAGGUCACCCACUGUCAAGCCUUCCUCUUAGAGCCGUGCUGCACAACUUUACAUCCUACCAGAGAGGUCAUUUAGUAACCCAUGUAAACAUUUGUAAGUACAUUUGUAACCCGCGUAGACCAUGUAAUACAAAUGUAACUUGCUCCUGCUUUUGCUAUUGAAAAGAAAACCAAUAAAGAGAGUAAUGGAUUGUUGAAAGACAAUUAAUCUUGUGAUUGACUGGCUCCUUUCUUUUGUGAAACUAUUAGCAAAAGUUUGAAUCAAAAGAAAGCAUCUCCAGGCUGCAUCACCGGUGGGUGCAGUUAUGCAUCAUCUCUCCAAACCAGCCCCAUGAAGAAAGAAAAGAUGAAGAAAGAAAACA
Alligator sinensis (Chinese alligator) is the source of this 965-nucleotide long non-coding RNA. RefSeq lists it as uncharacterized. The record is from RefSeq and is a predicted model, not a curated record. NCBI's taxonomy places the organism in Eukaryota, Metazoa, Chordata, Crocodylia, Alligatoridae. The transcript is spliced from 6 exons.